This is an RNA transcript of Alexandromys fortis (reed vole), 1701 nucleotides long. It is a transcript of the gene named nuclear receptor 2C2 associated protein, with no coding region annotated. The record is from RefSeq and is a predicted model, not a curated record. The transcript is spliced from 4 exons. Lineage: Eukaryota; Metazoa; Chordata; Mammalia; Rodentia; Cricetidae.
UGUGUUGACGUGAAACAUGCAAUCCUGCCAAGCAGCCUUGGGAGGGACUGCACGUGCCCACUAUGCCCUGUGAGGGAAGCUGAAUUAUUGCCUCUGCGGCGAGGGAGGCCCUCCGCAGAAGACACAACAGGAAGGCUGUGAGAACGUUUGUUAACACAAAGGACACGGUAUCCAUUUCCCUCCAGCUCCAAGGAAUCAGAAACUUGAGGGUGCGGCUUCUUUAAGAGGCAAACCAAAAGCACUACAAAUCCCGGCCGGCCCCGAAGAGGAGGCGGAGUCUGUACUGCACUGCGCACGCGCCGUUCGCACGCGGUUCCGGGUCUUGGUGUUCGGUUCGCAGAACCGCAGACCGUCUUGAGCGAGGCUGUAAAAUUUAGGAAGCUGCUUCUGUCUCUCUCCGGUUCCCGGAUCGCCCGCCGUGUCACGUAGAGGUGAUCGGGGAGGGCCGGCGGCUGGGUUCAAACUCGCGCUGAGCCACGAUGACCCAGUCUUUGGUUUGCCCCGAGACCGUGAGCCGGGUAAGUUCUGUGCUUAAUCGCAACAGCCGGCAAUUUGGGAAGAAAUAUCUUUUUGACGAGGACGAGGAAACAUGCUGGAAUUCCGACCAGGGCCCCUCCCAGUGGGUGACACUCGAGUUUCCCCAUCGUGUUCACAUCACACAGCUGCAGGUGCAGUUCCAGGGCGGCUUCUCCAGUCGCCACAGCUGCCUGGAAGGUACUGGAAGGUCGCAAGAGGUGGGGGUCAAGGGGUUCCCUGGAUUCUCAGCCUCUUUCUGCACUGCAGGUUCACAAGGUGGGGACACCCUCCGUAAGAUUGUGGACUUCUACCCUGAGGAUACCAACGCCCUUCAAAUAUCCUGCUUGGUCUGGGGUGUGAGGGACCUGGUCUUCUGAAGGCCUUGCAAGCACUGGGGCCAGCCUGGCAUAUAACCACACUGUGCCUUCUACACGAGAGCAGGAGCCAUCGCAAGGAGGAGGGUCAGGAGUAGUCAUCCUCUGCUACAAGGCCACACCUUCUCCAUUCCUACUGUGGAGGUGGACCGGCUGAAGCUGACCUUUGAGGACACCACGGACUUUUUUGGUCGUGUGGUCGUUUACCACCUGCGGGUGUUGGGUGAGAAGGCAGUGUGAGAGCAUCGGCGCCACCUCCAGGAAGACCCCUGGGAGGCACCAGAAGCCCUUCAACUUCUGCACAGAUUUAUUGGUUCCUGUUGGGGAGGAUCCCUUCCCACCACUGUCCGGGAGCUGCCUCAAGCCAGUUGUGGGGCAGCCUGGCUUAUUCCCUGAGUGCCUGGGUCCCCAGCAGGCCAUCUUCACUCUGGGUCUGCAGGCCCCAGAGUUCUCUGGAACAGUUGGAGGAUGUGGUUCUCCAUCACCUGUUGCACUGUGGGAGGAGGUGGGAGGCAGUGUGAGCAGGAGGGGGAGGUGUGAGCGGGAGAGGCUGCUGGAGGCCUUGAGCAGAGUGUAGCCACCAGGAGGUGACUCAGCCCAGCCCUGAGCCUGGGACCCUCCAAGGUCCAGCAGGGUGGGGUGGAGCUACCUUGGGGCUGUUUUAAGAAGAGGCCUUUCCUCCACUUGGUGCUUCCCGCCCACACUAUCCACUAAGUCAGAGCAAUACCAGACCCUCAGCCAAUGAGACCACACCACUAUAGCUUUCCCAGCCUCCAGAACCAUGAAUCCAAAUAAAACUUCAAAACCAAAA